This 918-nucleotide ribosomal RNA is filed under the name uncultured Bacillota bacterium. RNAcentral describes it as "bacterial SSU rRNA". It matches the Rfam family "Bacterial small subunit ribosomal RNA", at positions 1 to 917 of the family's 1533-position model. The record is from RNAcentral. Lineage: Bacteria; Bacillati; Bacillota.
UGGAUCCAGACUUUGAUUAUGGCUCAGGACGAACGCUGGCGGCGUGCUUAACACAUGCAAGUCGAACGAAGCUUGAUUUAUGAUUUCUUCGGAAUGAAUAAUGAUAUGACUGAGUGGCGGACGGGUGAGUAACGCGUGAGCAACCUGCCCUUCGGAGGGGGAUAGCGUCUGGAAACGGACGGUAAUACCGCAUAAAGUGUCUUGACCGCAUGAUCGGGAUACAAAACUGAGGUGCCGAAGGAUGGGCUCGCGUCGGAUUAGAUAGUUGGUGGGGUAACGGCCUACCAAGUCGACGAUCCAUAGCCGGACUGAGAGGUUGAACGGCCACAUUGGGACUGAGACACGGCCCAGACUCCUACGGGAGGCAGCAGUGGGGAAUAUUGCACAAUGGGGGAAACCCUGAUGCAGCAACGCCGCGUGAAGGAAGACGGUUUUCGGAUUGUAAACUUCUGUUCUUAGUGAAGAAUAAUGACGGUAGCUAAGGAGCAAGCCACGGCUAACUACGUGCCAGCAGCCGCGGUAAUACGUAGGUGGCAAGCGUUGUCCGGAAUUACUGGGUGUAAAGGGAGCGCAGGCGGGAAGCCAAGUCAGCUGUGAAAACUACAGGCUUAACUUGUAGACUGCAGUUGAAACUGGUUUUCUUGAGUGAAGUAGAGGUUGGCGGAAUUCCGAGUGUAGCGGUGAAAUGCGUAGAUAUUCGGAGGAACACCGGUGGCGAAGGCGGCCAACUGGGCUUUAACUGACGCUGAGGCUCGAAAGUGUGGGGAGCAAACAGGAUUAGAUACCCUGGUAGUCCACACUGUAAACGAUGAUUGCUAGGUGUGGGGGGUUCUGACCCCUUCCGUGCCGCAGCUAACGCAAUAAGCAAUCCACCUGGGGAGUACGACCGCAAGGUUGCAACUCAAAGGAAUUGACGGA